RNAcentral lists this unclassified non-coding RNA (232 nucleotides) under uncultured fungus. RNAcentral describes it as "partial contains 18S rRNA, ITS1, 5.8S rRNA, ITS2 and 28S rRNA". The record is from RNAcentral. Lineage: Eukaryota; Fungi.
AAGGAUCAUUAAAGAGUUAGGGUCCUCGUGGCCCGACCUCCAACCCUUUGUUUAACUAUACCACGUUGCUUCGGCGGGCCCGUCUCCUUCGGGAGACCGCCGGAGGGUCUCACCCCCCUCUGGUCCGUUGCCUGUCGAUAGCCCCAACCACAAACUCUUGAUACAAACCAUGUCGUCUGAGUCUAAAAUUUUAAUUAAAUUAAAACUUUCAACAACGGAUCUCUUGGUUCUG